CUGCAGCUGGAUCAUUU
RNAcentral lists this ribosomal RNA (17 nucleotides) under Leishmania major. Its description in RNAcentral is "partial 18S ribosomal RNA". Lineage: Eukaryota; Euglenozoa; Kinetoplastea; Trypanosomatida; Trypanosomatidae. The record is from RNAcentral.